Non-coding RNA from Notechis scutatus (mainland tiger snake), 366 nucleotides. Lineage: Eukaryota; Metazoa; Chordata; Lepidosauria; Squamata; Elapidae. The record is from RefSeq and is a predicted model, not a curated record.
UGUGAAGAACCAAAUGAGAUUGACUUUGGGGAAAUUGUGAGCACUGAGAAAGCCAAGUACCUGGAAAAUGACCGAGUACAAUACAGGUGCAACCCUUCCUAUGUCUUGGAAGGAACUGAAUGGAUUCAAUGUAAGGGACAAGAAUGGACACCUCAUCCACCAAAAUGCUUGGCACCCUGCAGUAUCACAAGACAACAGUUAGCAGCAAAAAACUUGUUUGUGUUUGGGAAUCAAAGAAAAGCUCGGCUUAUUCAAAGUAACCAGAACCUACAAUUUCAGUGUAAUGAAGGAUAUGUGCUUGUGGUUCCAUCAGUCAGAAAGUGUGUUGACGGUUACAUGGAUUUCCCAUUAUGUAUCUCUGGUAAG